RNAcentral lists this long non-coding RNA (2642 nucleotides) under Sus scrofa (pig). RNAcentral's name for it is "lncRNA (ENSSSCG00005002344.1)". The record is from RNAcentral. Lineage: Eukaryota; Metazoa; Chordata; Mammalia; Artiodactyla; Suidae.
GUAGGUCAGUGUCCUGGGGACCUGUCCCACUUGGCAAAGUAGAUUAAACCACCACCCCGCCUUUGUCAGAUGGAAGAUCUGCAGGUUUGUUCGCCCCAAAGGUACAGAGUCAUUCUAAACUUUCAGUUUGUAUUAACUCCAAGUUAAAGAUUCUGGGUGGUGACAAUACUCUGUCAAGGAUGGCCUGAUGCCAGUUGAUCUCAUAGGAAUAGUGACUUAAAAAGUAGUUGCUUUCACACACGCCACUGACGUAUAAAAAUUGUGAUGAUAAAAUAGUUUUUGCAGCCUUCUGAUUAAAAGUGUCCAUUUUUACCUCCUUGGUGCUUAAAAUGGACAUGAGUUCUAUGACUUUGUCUUUACUUGGAGAGGAAUGGCUCUGUGUUGCAAGUAAAUCAGUUUUUUUUCCCUCCUUUUCCACACGGUUUUGGUUCAUGAUGCACAAAGGUUUAACAUUUUUAUGUUGCCAUUUUAUUUUGGCUUUUUACUUCUUAAAAAUAACCCUCUAGUACUUCGAUAAUUUUAGCACAAGUGACUUAAAGUUCUGUGCUAAGAAAUGUCCUCGUGGCACUUAAAAACAUUUCACCUAUAACUUUUAAACAUGUGUGUUCUGAUCGAAGUAUCAGGAAUUUUGAAAAUUGAUAUCUAACAACCCACAUGUCUUACCUAAUUGUUGAGCUUAAUCCUAAAUGCCCCUUUAUGCUUUUUCUUCAAUCAGGAAAAAGGCCUGUGUCCUAUCAACACUUGUCUAGCAGCAUGCUACAGAAGCGAAACUAUGAGAAUUUUAUUGGGAACGCACAUUAUCGACCAAAUGACAAAAAAACUUGAUUUCCUGUUUUGGGGACAAAAGGUCUUGAUGGAUGUAAGUGUGUACUCUCCACGGAAUCAAAUCAGUUCAUCCUUUGAAAAAGCAACUGGUGAAAGCUACUGAAAUAAGCUGUGAUUGUACUGUACAUACAACAUACAAGGAACACUACGGUUUUGUAAAGUUGUUCUGUUAACUUUUGUACCAAAUAGCAAUAAAAACUAGUUGGAACAGCUGGGUUGUACACAAAUGGAGACCGGACAUCUCUAUUUUGUCCUGAAUAAUAUUUUUUUUAGAAUUGACCAAAAAAGAAGUUUUUUGCAUACUUGAGCGCUGCUGAAAAGAAAUCCUUUGGGGCGGGGGGUGGGGAGAAAGUAUAUACUGCUUGCACCUCAGGUAAAAAUGUGUAAAUAUAUGUUGUAAACCUGCUUGUUUAAAUACUGUGUGUAUUCUUUUUCUCUAAUGUAGCUCAUCACGCUGAGCAAGUUUCUGCUACUUGUCCUCUUUCAUUUAAAAAUGUACGUUUUUUAAAAAAAUUUCUCAAUGAUUUGUAUUAUGUUAAAUCCUCCUCAGUCUAUUGUCUUAACAAAAAAGUGUAAACGGAAGCAUCGACCAUCUGUGAACACGUGCUGCGCAUACUGAGGUCAGCUCUUCUGAAUUGGGUGCCCUUUUCCUGCACAUUUCAGUCUGUCUGUCACCUGAGAGAGGCCCAGACCCACAAUCCUUUCCUGAGGGGACCGGUGGUGGUUCGUGGGGAGUUUUACAGUGUGUGCGUCUGCGGAGAAACUUCCCUCCGCCAGGCCGGCCACACGUGCGGUAAACGUACCAGAGUGCAUACGGAGUUACUGAAAUUUGUUUUCUAUCCAAUUAAUCAUUUUUGUUGGACAACUUGUGGGCCGUUUGUUUGGCCUUUGCCUAAAUUAGCAUGUCGAAAUAGAAAUGCUCAAUUCUACCUGUGACUGACUGAUAUUGGAAGCAAUUUCAAAAGCAAUGAAAGUUCUGGGGAAACGGUAGGUCUGUACUUGGACGUCUUGGUGUGUCUGGCGAUUGGGUUAACUGGGCGUGUUCAGGCUCGUUGCAGAGACACGGUUCUGCAGGCGCCAGGCCCGCUGGCCGAGCGCUCCGCUCGGGCCCUCUCUCGGGCUGCCUGAGCCUGCUGGGCCUCGGGGAGGAGGUGCCCUCUUUUGAGAGCUCGGCCGCCUGCCCAUUCCUGUGGUUUCCCGCGGCGUACCUGCAGUUGGAGUUCCGUGGAGAGGCUGGCCACCAGCUGGCUCGCUGGCUGUUGUAAACUUCUCUUCCCGCCAUCCACUGUCCGUGGCUGGGUAUAGGGCAGUACCUGGGGUUCGCGACCACAAAAUACUUCAUUAAGAAACCUGCUUCAGACAUAAAUUUGCACUGUUCGUUUUUCUUGCCCUGCCCUUCUCCAUUAGAGCGAGGGUGAUGUCCUAAAAGAAUCUUGAUUUUUGUGUUUAUUUUCAUUAUGCGACACGACUCCUACUUGACAGAGACGUCUUAACCCCCUCGUGAGAAGGGAGGCCUGACUUGAGACCGUCUGCUGGCACCUGCAACAAAGUGCUUUGUACCGGGAAGGCGUACACUAUCGACCUGUUCUCCUGUUCACAAGCUGAGCCAUAUGUACAUAAUCUAGAUUUUUGUUUUCAUAGUUUUGCACUUUUAUAGCCUAUUUUUGAAGAUUAACACAUUUUCAAGAUGAUUGACCCUGUCCUUACCUAAUCCAAUGAGUGUUACAGAGAGCUUGCUGUGACGAGAAGUAUAAAUCUUAAAAGGGGAUACAUGAUAAUAGAGGGCUGAAAUUUAAAUCUGUAUUUAAAAAAAAAAA